This 437-nucleotide ribosomal RNA is filed under the name Staphylococcus aureus. Its description in RNAcentral is "bacterial SSU rRNA". It matches the Rfam family "Bacterial small subunit ribosomal RNA", at positions 212 to 641 of the family's 1533-position model. The record is from RNAcentral. Lineage: Bacteria; Bacillati; Bacillota; Bacilli; Caryophanales; Staphylococcaceae.
CUGUCACUUAUAGAUGGAUCCGCGCUGCAUUAGCUAGUUGGUAAGGUAACGGCUUACCAAGGCAACGAUGCAUAGCCGACCUGAGAGGGUGAUCGGCCACACUGGAACUGAGACACGGUCCAGACUCCUACGGGAGGCAGCAGUCGGGAAUCUUCCGCAAUGGGCGAAAGCAUGACGGAGAAAGGCCGCGUGAGUGAUGAAGGUCUUCGGAUCGUAAAACUCUGUUAUUAGGGAAGAACAUAUGUGUAAGUAACUGUGCACAUCUUGACGGUACCUAAUCAGAAAGCCACGGCUAACUACGUGCCAGCAGCCGCGGUAAUACGUAGGUGGCAAGCGUUAUCCGGAAUUAUUGGGCGUAAAGCGCGCGUAGGCGGUUUUUUAAGUCUGAUGUGAAAGCCCACGGCUCAACCGUGGAGGGUCAUUGGAAACUGGAAAAC